RNAcentral lists this ribosomal RNA (396 nucleotides) under uncultured eukaryote. Its description in RNAcentral is "partial 18S ribosomal RNA". It matches the Rfam family "Eukaryotic small subunit ribosomal RNA", at positions 592 to 977 of the family's 1831-position model. The record is from RNAcentral.
CAAUAGCGUAUAUUAAAGCUGUUGCAGUUAAAAAGCUCGUAGUUGGAUUUCUGUUAAAAGCAAGUAGCCCGCUCUUUGGGUGUUGUGCUCACGUCGUUUUUAACAUUUUUCUGUUUGAUAUAUAGUCUUGUUUGUUCUUCAUUGAGCAGACAACGACUGUAGAACAGAACUUUUACUUUGAGAAAAUUAGAGUGUUCUAAGCAGGCUAGUGCCUUGAAUACUGCAGCAUGGAAUAAUAAGAUAGGAUUUCAAUUCUAUUUUAUUGGUUCUAAGGAUUGAAAUAAUGAUUAAUAGGGACAGUUGGGGGCAUUCGUAUUUAACUGUCAGAGGUGAAAUUCUUAGAUUUGUUAAAGACGAACUACUGCGAAAGCAUUUGCCAAGGAUGUUUUCAUUAAC